This 473-nucleotide ribosomal RNA is filed under the name uncultured bacterium. Its description in RNAcentral is "bacterial SSU rRNA". It matches the Rfam family "Bacterial small subunit ribosomal RNA", at positions 328 to 793 of the family's 1533-position model. The record is from RNAcentral.
CUCUGUGACUCCUACGGGAGGCAGCAGUGGGGAAUAUUGCACAAUGGGGGAAACCCUGAUGCAGCCAUGCCGCGUGUGUGAAGAAGGCCUUCGGGUUGUAAAGCACUUUCAGUAGGGAGGAAGGUAGUGUAGUUAACACCUGCAUUAUUUGACGUUACCUACAGAAGAAGCACCGGCUAACUCCGUGCCAGCAGCCGCGGUAAUACGGAGGGUGCGAGCGUUAAUCGGAAUUACUGGGCGUAAAGCGCAUGCAGGCGGCCUGUUAGGUCAGAUGUGAAAGCCCCGGGGCUUAACCUCGGAAUUGCAUUUGAAACUGGCAGGCUAGAGUCUUGUAGAGGGGGUAGAAUUUCAGGUGUAGCGGUGAAAUGCGUAGAGAUCUGAAGGAAUACCAGUGGCGAAGGCGGCCCCCUGGACAAAGACUGACGCUCAGAUGCGAAAGCGUGGGGAGCAAACAGGAUUAGAUACCCUGGUAG